Long non-coding RNA from Monopterus albus (swamp eel), 162 nucleotides. RefSeq lists it as uncharacterized. The record is from RefSeq and is a predicted model, not a curated record. NCBI's taxonomy places the organism in Eukaryota, Metazoa, Chordata, Actinopteri, Synbranchiformes, Synbranchidae. The transcript has 3 exons.
UUCUGAAGCCUCUGUGAGAAUGGCGAACUGCAUUGCUCCAAGGAUUGUGGAUGCAGAAAUGGGAAGGUCUGUGUACACUGCUCGGAAUACCCGGUUAACACGGCUCAGAAAACCUGUGACAGUCUUGGCAAACCAUUGGGUGCCAGCAUGACCUGUGAGAGU